CGCGGGCCUCCCCUCCAAAGCCUACAGAGGCCUCUCCCCGAUGUCUUCUGCACUCCCGGGAAGAACGACCACGUGGGUGACCUCCUUGGCUUCCCUGAUUCCUAGACAGGCCUCUGACCUCCUCAUUUUUCUCAAGCUCGCAAAUCAACCCAGGUCUGUGACUGGCCGGCGUGUGCCACUUCCUGACUGCCCAUCUGGGCCCAAGUCUAGAUCGUCACCCUGAGACCAUCAUAUCCUCUCAGCACCCACCAUAGACUCCGCAGAGACUCCAGCUUUGCCAAUACAGUUACCGUACUGUUACUGCGGGACAGACAGAUGGAUGCAUCAAGACGCCCACCCCCAGCUGAUGACCUGAGCACAGCAGCUCUGGUCCUGUGCUGCCUCAAGGAAGGCCGGGCGGGGACGCCUGUGCACCUGGGUGCCUGCACCAUCACCGCCAUCGCAAGGAGCGGGCUGGACACUCAGG
Long non-coding RNA from Bubalus bubalis (water buffalo), 466 nucleotides. RefSeq lists it as uncharacterized. The transcript is spliced from 3 exons. The record is from RefSeq and is a predicted model, not a curated record. Lineage: Eukaryota; Metazoa; Chordata; Mammalia; Artiodactyla; Bovidae.